CUUCCCCUGCCAGCCACUUCCAGGAUUUUUCAUUACAGACAGGGACCUCCCACCCUACCCACUAGGGCAGGGACCCCCCCUCUCUGUGGGAACAAGUACCCCCCCACCCAUCCCCGCCAAUGGCAGGAAGUCUCCCGUCCAUUAUGGACAGGAAGCCCUCCACACUCAUCACCUCCAGGGGCCGGGACCCUCACAUCACUCAGGGACCUCUCUGCCCCCUCACCCUCAGCACAGUUGGGAAUUCCCCUGCCCAUAUGUUUGGGGCGGAGAUCACUCCCAUGAUAGGCAGGGACCCCCUCCCAUCUCCCUAGGUGGAGGGACACCCUAUUCCCAUCACAGUUGGGAUCACCAUCCCCAUCAUGGGUAGGGAUGUCCCACACAUUCUUAGGGGCAUCCCUCACAGGGAGGGAGUUAUUCCCUCCAGGGGCCAGGAUACCCCUCCAUCAUAGUCCAGUAUCCAUCCUACAAGGGUCAGGAGCAGCAUCCCCCUUCCCAAUUUGAGCAGCAGCCUUAUCCCCACCAGGGGAAGGAACCCACAGAGUCCUACCACCAGAGCCAGGAGCAACUCCCCAGGGAUCACAAUCCUAACAUUUCAGCCUGUGGAUUGAAGAGUUCUAAAAUGCAGUCCAGAGCUGCCUUCUACCUGUAACAAUGUGAAGACAAAAUCAGUCAACUCCAGGUUUUGAUUGUUGGCUAAUGCAAGCAGUGAGCUUUUAAUCUAACAACAUAGAUUGGAGCAUCAGUAGAUUAUUAGUGCUCUGUGUGUUAUUGUUAAUUUAAAAACCUGAUAUGAUUGAGGCCAAGUUUACGAAUAUUGCUAUAUACACUAAUGCAUUUUUCAAGCUCUGAGUCUUGCCCUAGUUUAUCAGAAACAAAAGCAUAGUCCCUGAUCAGACCUUAAAGGUGGAUAAACAUGGACCAGUACCACCUCACUGAUGAAAACUUCAUCCAAUCAGAGAUGCAUAUUCCUGGAUUUUCAGAGAGUCAAGGGCUGAACUGUAGUGACACUCUCAACCUUAAACUGUGUCCAGAGACAGGAGACAUAAUGUAUACUGGUCUGAGCAGCCUAGAUAUAGAUCCUAACCUUUCAGCUGCAGAUAUGGCUAAUGACACUUUGGAGGACAAUUUAGAUGCACUGUCUUUGUAUUCUGUGAAGGAUUGUGAUUUUGUUAAACUCUUUGAUGAGUCUGACUUUGGCCCACAGCCUUCUUUGUGUGAAUUGGGGCUUCCAGUCCCAACAGCACCUAAAGAAGUUGAACAAGAAGGCAAGUCCCGUUCUGGUAGUACCAGGAAAGGGAAGCAUCAGCACAGCUCUUCUCAAAACCCUGUCCUGGAUUGCAGUCUCUGUGGGAAGGUGUUUAGCAGUGCCAGCUCUCUUAGCAAACAUAACCUGACUCACAGCCAGGAACGGAAAUACAUCUGUAAAAUCUGCAGCAAGGCUUUUAAACGGCAGGACCACCUGAGUGGACACAUGCUAACACACCAGAAAACAAAGCCAUUUAUGUGUGUAGAACAGGGUUGCAAUAAGAGUUACUGUGACCAUCGUUCAUUGCUUCGACAUUAUGAAAUGCAACAUGGCUUGUCUAUAUUGAAGGAGGCCACCUGUGAUGAAGAUGCCUGUAAAGUCUCAUCACCUUCUCAUGAUGCAGUUGUCCAAAAUGGACAAGAUGGCAUGAGAAUGGAGAAGCUGGCUGUACACUCCGAAUCCAAAUAUCCAAAUCCUGGCCUGCCCAAUAGAGACCUUCUGAAAUGCAUUGUCAGCGUUGUAAAUCAAAAGCUUCCAUCAACUCCAGCAUCUUCUACAGGGCAGUCGGAGGCUGACUUGAAAGGUUCCCUGCAGUCCUGCUCCUCUGCCUCUGAUCAGGUUUCUUGCAUCCCAUCUAGCACGACUGCACUGUUUGAAGUGACAGGUGAGAACAUGUUGAAGGAGCAUUAUCCUAGCCAAAAGAAUGCCACCUCUUCCAAUGUGUAUGCCAUAAUAAAUCCUGGUAAUUUAUCUGUGAUCGCACCAGGAGAAAACAUACUUACCAGUUUGACUGAUACAUCGCUGCUUUCAGAAUCACAGUUUCCUUUAGAGACUACAGGGCUGGAUUAUUGGCCAAACAGCACUUUACCUUGUUUUCCAUUAUUUAGGGGUCAGAAGAUUUCUGCAAACUCCUCCCAUCAGUCAGGCAGUAAUUUUCAGUGGAUCAGAAACAUGCCAGUUUGUACUAAAAGCAAAGGGAACAGUGUUUAUAUUACUGAUAAUCCAUCUGUUACAGCUCAGAAUAUUUCAGGUGGGUUUUCUGGACCUUCGCAAGUGUUCGACUCAUUUUCACAGAUGUAUGAGUGUCCAGAGGCUGUGUCAUUUGCACUUGUGAAGACCCAAGGAGAAAUCUCAAGUGAAACAAAGCUCAGCAGUUUUGAGGAAACCUUUAGGCCAGCAAAAAGACAGGAAUGUGACAUUGAUUCCUGUCACUGGCCAAAUGUUCAGAAGCAUAGUAUGUUACAGAAUGACACUAACCCACACUUCAGGCAGCUUUUCAUGGAAUCCUCAGUGAACCAAGAGCAUAUGCAAGUGCAGCAGCACCUACUCCAAAUGUUCACCAAAACUCAGCACAUUUUGUCCCACACUCAGGUGGUGGCUCCAUCACAGCAAGCAACUUCUGAGGUGAAACAGACUGUAGAAAAACCACUCCAAAGUAUUCUGCAACAGCAGCAGCAGAUUGAUGUGAUUCAUUCUCUUCUAGAGCGCACAGAGCAUGAAGGGUCGCCUUUGUUUAUGCAAAAGACUUUGACCCAGUAUCAGAAGGAUGUGGCAUCUGUUAGUGAGGAACAAGGCCAUAAAGGAAGGCAGCAAGCAGCAUUUACUUUGCAACCUUUUCACUCCCCAUCAGACCCUGUUGUAAAUUCAGACACUGUUUACUCUGCCAAGCAGACUAGACCCUUAAAAGGGUGUGUGGGGUUCAAAGAUAUUGCCAACUCCAGCCAACCUCAGCCUACAGUAUGUGAUAAAGCAAUGGGAAACUCUACUUAUCGGAAAUCACGUCAGCGGGAAAAUAACACUUCUGUAUAUAGCAACAAAGAGAAGAAUGAAGAAUUUUGCAAAGGAACAGGUGGCAAACUGCAUUUCAGUACUGGUAGACCUCGCCGCUUGCCCAGUGUCCGCAAAGAGAAGCUAAAGUUUGACCUGUCUUGUUCAGCUUCUCCAAGUCAAGUAGCCAUGGCUUCCUUUUCUUUACCUGGCACUUCAUCCAGUCAUGUGCCUGAAAAAACCCACAAACUCACCAUUUUCAAUAGGAUUCAGGGUGGAAAUAUCUACAGCCUUAAUAACGCAGUGAGGGAAGAAAACUUGUCAGCUGGAUCAGCUGGAUGUAAUAACACCAGUGGUGUCCCUGCAGAUGGUAACAGAUAUGCAAGUGGUUUCGUUUGUAAGACCUGCGGUCAGCUGUUCUAUACUGAAAAAGGUUUGAACAGCCAUAUGUGUUUCCAAAGUGAACAAUGGCAUUCGCCACCUGGGAAGACAGAACAGCAGGUGUACAAUGCAGAAAACUUAAACCCUCAGAAAUUGUCACUCAAGUCUCUAGGAGAUGGAAACACUUCAUCAGAAAUUAAGAAAACUUUAGAAGAUGUACCAGUGGCACCUCUAGUCAUCCCAGUCUCUGUACCUGUGACAGCUGUGAACCAACAGACCAGGAACAAAGUUAAUGAAAAGGAGAGCCAUGAUGAGAAGGACCUCAGGAAAAGCUUGCCCCAAAAAAAGAGGAAGAGGCAAACUCGUCCCAAAUCUCUCUUUAUUCCACCUCUUCCGGCCUUGUGUGCUGAGAUGCAGCCAGCCAUGGGAGGAUGCCAUGAGAGUAAUCUUCGAUCACCAGUCUACAUAGUUGACCACCUCCUGAGAGACUUAUUCCAAAGCUCUCCAUAUACCCCGCCUCCUAUGCUCAGCCCGAUACGGGAGGGAUCAGGGCUUUAUUUCAGCACCCUCUGUUCUUCCUCUACUAGUUCUGGUCACAACAAGCUGUACAGUACCAUUCUAGGCAGAAUGGAUGGAGACUUUGGAUUCUCUCUUGUGAAAGAUAACACCAAAAUCAGCAUAAAGCCACAUAUUAACAUUGGAAACCGGUUUCAGGCAGAGAUACCAAACCUCCAGGAUAGAGCACUUUUAGAAAAUGAUGAACAUGCAGCAUCGUUAGUGUGGAAACCUUGGGGAGACAUCACAACCAACCAGGAAACACAGGACAGAGUAACAGGACUAUUAAACGUGGCCUGCUCCAGUGCGAUGCCCGGGGGAGGGACCAAUCUAGAACUAGCCCUGCAUUGUCUGCAUGAAGCACAAGGCAAUAUUCUGGAGGCCCUAGAGAUGCUGCUGUUCAGAGGACCUCAGAAAGUUCCAUCCCACCCUCUUGCUAAUUAUCAUUAUACAGGUUCAGAUGUUUGGACACCUGUUGAGAAACAGUUGUUUAAAAAAGCUUUUUGUCUGCAUAAAAAAGAUUUUUACCUGAUACAGAAGAAGAUUCAGACUAAGAGUGUGUCACAGUGUGUUGAAUAUUACUAUAUCUGGAAAAAAAUAAUAAAAUUCGACUUCAGUCGACCAAAAAGUGUGUGCAGCCCAAAGAAAAUGCAUGGCUAUCUGCCUAGACAAGGUAUGAAGAUAAAGUCAAAGAAUUACAAAAAAGCAUCACACAAGACAUAUAGUCCAGCAUGCAGUCAGAGGGGAACGCCGGACCAGCCUGGGACCACAGACUAUCAGGGUUCAUUUCCAUGUAAAGAGUGCGAAAGGGUGUUCGACAAGAUAAAAAGUCGGAAUGCUCACAUGAAAUGCCACCGCGUGCAGGAGCAGAUGGAGCCACUAAUAAAUAUUAAGUGGCCCAUAAAACAUUAAAAAAUGAGCCAAAGAUGAAAGAAACAAACUCAGACAUUGACCUUCUCCAAUGGUAACCGGGAAACCGCGAUUUCAGGGUAUCAGUGGUAGAAAUCUUAUCAGAACUUGGAAAACAUGCAAAUGGUUUUUAGCAUCUGAUCAGCUCUGAGCAGGGUUAGCUGACAUGACAGUACACUCAGCCCACACUUCAGCUUGUACCAUUGUGGGCACUGCAGAAAACAUGCACCAUUUUUCCUAGUGCAGAAGCCCCGGAUGAGACUGAAAAGAAACCUCUACUUGAAGCAUUGGAAGACACUCAGAUACUACAGUGAUGAGAAUGGCAGAAGAUCCAGCAAUGAAACUAAAGGUCUGUUUGAUUUGUUAUAAAUCUUAUCAGCGGUCUGCAAGUCCCACUGUCAAUAUCUCAGAAUAUUGUGAAGCACCAUAGUGGGUCAUGAAGUAUUGCACCAGUUUCCCCUCUCACAUUGUUUGCACAAGCACUAGAAUAAUGCAGAACUGUGAAGUGGCAUUGUUGUUGGAUUUCUUUAGCUUGGAUGGCAAGUAAAACAGAACUAGGGUUCCCCCCCCCCACCGUUGGGUAAGAACCAGAAAACAGAUUGUGUUGCUGGGUUGGAGGUUGUUUUACGAGGCUAGAUGAUGAAAUCCUUCCUCCUACUAGUCAAAAUGCUCUUCUGUAGCCAUUUACUGAAGCAGCAAUGUUCAGGUCAAAGGCUUGAGAAACUUACUCACCAAUGGCAAGUAGGACAGUUUUUCUGGAAAUUUGCCAAUUAUCUUCUGCAGAAUUUGAGGGGUUUUUUUUUUUAAAGUUUAAAGAAGCUAGAGAGCUUUCUAGCUUCGUGGCUACAAUGGGAAACCUUAAAGUACGACCAGCUGUCUUCUGAAAAUACAAACACAAAGCCUCGAGCAGUGCAUCAGCAUAACCUGCCUCCCGCUAGCUCAGUGUACUCUUCACUUUGAAGCCUGUCACGCCCCCAAGCCUUGUCUAUACACAGAAGAUUCACUGGUUUCACUUAAAAAAAAAAGUUA
Non-coding RNA from Pelodiscus sinensis (Chinese soft-shelled turtle), 5887 nucleotides. The record is from RefSeq and is a predicted model, not a curated record. Lineage: Eukaryota; Metazoa; Chordata; Testudines; Trionychidae.